This 454-nucleotide ribosomal RNA is filed under the name Neoteredo reynei. Its description in RNAcentral is "partial 16S ribosomal RNA". It matches the Rfam family "Bacterial large subunit ribosomal RNA", at positions 1862 to 2608 of the family's 2925-position model. The record is from RNAcentral. Lineage: Eukaryota; Metazoa; Mollusca; Bivalvia; Myida; Teredinidae.
CCCGGUGGAGUUUCGUCUUUAAACGGUUGCUGUUUAGAGCAGUACGAAGGUAGCGCAGUAAAUCGUCCUUUGAUUUGGGAAUAGUAUGAAUGGCUUGACGUGAGGAGGUCUGUCUCGGACUCAUUUGUUGAUGUUUAUUUCUGUGUGAAAAGGCUCAGAUUUUUUCAUUAGACGAGAAGACCCCGUCGAGCUUGAUGGGGGCUGGGGUAUCGUUCUUAGUUCGAAGUUUAGCUGGGGUGACUUGAUGCAGAAUUAACGCAUUUGAAGUAUUAGGUGUGAAGAUCCUCUAUUAGGGACAUGAAGAAAAAGCUACCGCGGGGAUAACAGCGUAAUGUCCUUGGAAAGGUCUUAUUGAAGAGGGGUGUUGCGACCUCGAUGUUGAAUUAGGGUUUCGUCUUGGCGCAGCCGUUGAGAUAGUGGGACUGUUCGUCCUUUAAAAUUCUACGUGAUCUGA